RNAcentral lists this long non-coding RNA (1867 nucleotides) under Gallus gallus (chicken). The record is from RNAcentral. Lineage: Eukaryota; Metazoa; Chordata; Aves; Galliformes; Phasianidae.
AGCGGGCAAGCUGCCCAGGAUGACUGCGGGUUGUAAGAGACUGUUCUUUUAUAUCAUUUGACUCAAAGUUUGCCGAGGAGCAAGUCCAGGCAAGUCCUGGGCAAAGGUAGAGAAAUCUUCCGUCUGGAGGACACUGAUGGACGGGUCCUGGCUAAGCGUUGUGAAAUCCUCCAAGGAGCACAGAUGGACACGGCCAGGGGCAGCGAGAGAGAGAUGAGCUGCUGAUAACGGCCGGGAAACGGUCUUUUUGUGUGGACUUACCUCGAGGAAGAUGGCCAUCUCAGGAGGUACGCACAGGACUCUUGCUCAAGCACCCAGGGGUGUCAGUAGGCAGCAGAAAAUGGAGGAUAAAAGAGGGGCCAACAACCCCGACAGAUUGGGCGGGGUUUUCUGCCAUCAGAUCCCUCACCACGACAGACUGAGAGGGUUUUCUGCCGUCAGAUCCCUCACCACGACGGACUGAGAGGGGUAUUCUGCCAUCCGAUCCCUCACCACGACAGACCAGUGAAGGGUUUCUGCCAUCAGAUCUCCCUGUUCCUGCUGGCCACUAUUUCUGAUACAAGCCAGGAUGCCGUUGGCCUUCUUGGCUGCCUGGGCACACUGCUGGCUCAUGUUCAGUCUGGCAUCAAUUAACACCCCCAGGUCCAUUUCCUCUACACAGAACUUGAUGUUCUUUCUCGAGGCGUAUCUUUUCCAAGGACCAGUAGCGCUUCUGAUUCAUGCUCUCCGGUUCCCCAGAGUUCAGCGUCACAGGGUGUCGUGCUGUUUCCUCAUAGGCACAUUGGAGUGAUGUUGCUCCUGCCGGCCAUCCUUUGGACUUAAAACCUCAAGGGGAGUAAAACAGACGUUUAAUAGGUACAAGGAGGGGUAGGUCUGCCCUCCACGGUAAGAUGCAGGCUGUGUUUCGGUCUUGGGUCAACACCUCUGCCUGUAUCGGGGCACGUCCUGGCCUUCGAUACCACACUCUUUGGCCCGAAAUCUGCGACUGAAUCACUAUGUCGGGUAUCAAAAGGGGAGGUUCUAAUUUGCCACAUGGCCAUGAUUAAUGUCCCCUUUGCAAUGAAAACAGGGGUGUCGACUACUACCUCUGUUGGCCGUACACCCAUUACUGAAGGGUUUACCGAUCCCCCAACCUCUAACAAUCUCCUCCAAGGUGCAAGGAGACCACACCAUUUUAGUCCUGCUUGCACCUUCCAAGGCCAUUUUACCUUGUGUCUCCUGGGCUCCCCGUCAUCAGGGGCAGGGAGCAGAAGAUUAUCCAUGGUGCCAACUUGUGGCUUGAGUGAGGUGUCCUUGCUUGCAAUUUGUAUCCUAAGUGGGGAGGCCCAAGUUGGCUGCAACGUCCUUAAAGCACUGGGUCUGCCAUCUCUUGGUCUCUCAUUCAAGUCUCGCAGGGUUUCAUAAAGCCUUUUGGUCCACCCCUGCAAGGACUGGUGAAUCUGCCUUCAGAGCAGCCUUCAGGAUCCCAUUGUAUCUUUCUAUUAGGCCUGCUCCUGUUGGAUUGUAGGGCAGGUGAAACCGCCAUUCAAUGUUAUUGUCUUCAGCCCACUUCUGCACAGUUGCACCUGUGAAAUGCGUACCUUGAUCACUCUCAAUGACCUCAGGAGUCCCGUAUGAUGCCAUCAAUCUAGUUAGAGCUUUGAUGGUAGAGGCUUGGUUUGCCUUUGCUACAGGAUAGGCUUGCAUCAGUCCACUCGCUGUAUCGACACAAGUUAGGGCAUAUCUGGCCCCCUCAGAUCGAGGAAGGGGACCUAUAUAAUCAAUCUGCCAUCGCUGCAAUGGGUUGUGUCCUCUAGCGAGAUGGCCGUAGUUUCCGGCAGAGGUCUUGGUCUCAUUCGCGAGCAAGCGUCACAGUCCUGACACGCCU